This 302-nucleotide ribosomal RNA is filed under the name uncultured bacterium. Its description in RNAcentral is "partial 16S ribosomal RNA". It matches the Rfam family "Bacterial small subunit ribosomal RNA", at positions 508 to 807 of the family's 1533-position model. The record is from RNAcentral.
GCAGCCGCCGCGGGAAUACGGAGGGUGCAAGCGUUAAUCGGAAUUACUGGGCGUAAAGCGCACGCAGGCGGUCUGACAAGUCAGAUGUGAAAUCCCCGGGCUUAACCUGGGAACUGCAUUUGAAACUGUCAGGCUGGAGUCUUGUAGAGGGGGGUGGAAUUCCAGGUGUAGCGGUGAAAUGCGUAGAGAUCUGGAGGAAUACCGGUGGCGAAGGCGGCCCCCUGGACAAAGACUGACGCUCAUGCACGAAAGCGUGGGGAGCAAACAGGAUUAGAUACCCGAGUAGUCCCUGUCUCUUAUAC